GAUGAACGCUGGCGGCGUGCCUAAUACAUGCAAGUCGAGCGAACAGAUAAGGAGCUUGCUCCUUUGACGUUAGCGGCGGACGGGUGAGUAACACGUGGGUAACCUACCUAUAAGACUGGGAUAACUUCGGGAAACCGGAGCUAAUACCGGAUAACAUUUGGAACCGCAUGGUUCUAAAGUGAAAGAUGGUUUUGCUAUCACUUAUAGAUGGACCCGCGCCGAAUUAGCUAGUUGGUAAGGUAACGGCUUACCAAGGCAACGAUACGUAGCCGACCUGAGAGGGUGAUCGGCCACACUGGAACUGAGACACGGUCCAGACUCCUACGGGAGGCAGCAGUAGGGAAUCUUCCGCAAUGGGCGAAAGCCUGACGGAGCAACGCCGCGUGAGUGAUGAAGGGUUUCGGCUCGUAAAACUCUGUUAUUAGGGAAGAACAAAUGUGUAAGUAACUGUGCACGUCUUGACGGUACCUAAUCAGAAAGCCACGGCUAACUACGUG
This 497-nucleotide ribosomal RNA is filed under the name uncultured bacterium. Its description in RNAcentral is "partial 16S ribosomal RNA". It matches the Rfam family "Bacterial small subunit ribosomal RNA", at positions 28 to 507 of the family's 1533-position model. The record is from RNAcentral.